AACGAAUGACACGUAUUCCAAAUCUGUUUAAAAAAUGAACAAUAUCGACUGGAAGUCCGGCAAAGCUGGCCAAUACUUAAGUAGGUCGGCGUAGCACCUCCCCCAAGUGAUUCGCCGAUAAAAGGCAGCAACGGAAUGUCGGCCUUUGUUUUACUCCUAAUGGUCUUAACCCGGAUUCCCCAGAGCCCGG
RNAcentral lists this small RNA (190 nucleotides) under Pseudomonas taetrolens. RNAcentral's name for it is "Pseudomonas sRNA P16". It matches the Rfam family "RgsA sRNA". From Rfam's summary of the family: P16 sRNA appears to be conserved across several Pseudomonas species and Azotobacter vinelandii. In these species it is consistently located downstream of a predicted TatD deoxyribonuclease gene. P16 has a predicted Rho independent terminator at the 3' end but the function of P16 is unknown. The record is from RNAcentral. Lineage: Bacteria; Pseudomonadati; Pseudomonadota; Gammaproteobacteria; Pseudomonadales; Pseudomonadaceae.